This 279-nucleotide non-coding RNA is filed under the name Pediculus humanus corporis (human body louse). Lineage: Eukaryota; Metazoa; Arthropoda; Insecta; Psocodea; Pediculidae. The record is from RNAcentral.
CGUGCGUGCGGGUGUACUCUUGUAAUCCAAUUACGUGGAGGUUAGGUAUGAAAAAACGUUUUAAGGGCUGGGAUUCGGGGAUUAAAUUUCCCACGUUGACUAGGCGUCCGUUAGGGCUAAAUCUUCAACUUGGAUGCCUUGGGGGGGAGCCCGAGGUAGCCAGAUUGAGUCUGAAAGGGGGAAAAAUCGGUCCAAAAGUCACAUCGAGUUGAGAGUCGUGGGUUCAAAUCCUGGGAGUGGGAGUUCAAUUUCGACUCGUUCAAACAAGAACAAACCUGU